AACCAUCUAAGAAAAAGACAUCUACAAUAAAAUUAAUGGAAAAGGAUUUUGGUAUUGAUGGCACAAGUAAAGCCUUACCAAGUGGGACCGAGUGCAACACAAUCUUUGGUCCUGUAAUAUUUUUCUAUCACAGAUCUUCUCCAAAGCAUCCUCAUUUAAGCCUUAUGACCUAAGAUUUAGAUUGUAGAAAAUACUAACAUCGAAAAUUUAGAUUUUAUAUUUGUGCGUAAAGAUUAAGAAGAAUGGAAAGAAACUUUUUUUUUUCUUUUUUAGAAUGAAUGGAGGUUGCAUAGACUUUAGAAAACAAACAUUUCGCUAUACCUCUUUGUU
This 330-nucleotide long non-coding RNA is filed under the name Carica papaya (papaya). Its description in RNAcentral is "long non-coding RNA (CPAP_LNC002225)". Lineage: Eukaryota; Viridiplantae; Streptophyta; Magnoliopsida; Brassicales; Caricaceae. The record is from RNAcentral.